This 500-nucleotide ribosomal RNA is filed under the name uncultured bacterium. RNAcentral's name for it is "partial 16S ribosomal RNA". It matches the Rfam family "Bacterial small subunit ribosomal RNA", at positions 30 to 523 of the family's 1533-position model. The record is from RNAcentral.
AUUGAACGCUGGCGGCAUGCCUCACACAUGCAAGUCGAACGGCAGCACGGGAGCAAUCCUGGUGGCGAGUGGCGAACGGGUGAGUAAUAUAUCGGAACGUGCCCAGUCGUGGGGGAUAACGUAGCGAAAGCUACGCUAAUAACGCAUACGAUCUAUGGAUGAAAGAGGGGGAUCGAAAGACCUCGCGCGAUUGGAGCGGCAGAUAUCAGAUUAGGUAGUUGGUGAGGUAAAGGCUCACCAAGCCGACGAUCUGUAGCUGGUCUGAGAGGACGACCAGCCACACUGGGACUGAGACACGGCCCAGACUCCUACGGGAGGCAGCAGUGGGGAAUUGUGGACAAUGGGCGCAAGCCUGAUCCAGCAAUGCCGCGUGCAGGAUGAAGGCCUUCGGGUUGUAAACUGCUUUUGUACGGAACGAAACGGCGAGCUCUAAUACAGUUUGCUAAUGACGGUACCGUAAGAAUAAGCACCGGCUAACUACGUGCCAGCCGCCGCCGUAA